GGGACUCGUGUGUGUGUGUGUGUGUGUGUGUGUGUGUGUGUGUGUGUGUGUGCGCGUGCAUGUGUGCAUGCCCUGCCACAC
This 81-nucleotide microRNA precursor is filed under the name Notamacropus eugenii (tammar wallaby). Its description in RNAcentral is "miRNA (ENSMEUG00000017705.1)". Lineage: Eukaryota; Metazoa; Chordata; Mammalia; Diprotodontia; Macropodidae. The record is from RNAcentral.